This 70-nucleotide transfer RNA is filed under the name Loxodonta africana (African savanna elephant). It matches the Rfam family "tRNA". Rfam says of the family: Transfer RNA (tRNA) molecules are approximately 80 nucleotides in length. Their secondary structure includes four short double-helical elements and three loops (D, anti-codon, and T loops). Lineage: Eukaryota; Metazoa; Chordata; Mammalia; Proboscidea; Elephantidae. The record is from Rfam by way of RNAcentral.
GGCUUUGUAACUCUUACAAUGUGUUUGGCUGCUAACCAAAAUGUUGGAGGUUCAAGUCCACCCAGAGGUG